RNAcentral lists this ribosomal RNA (253 nucleotides) under uncultured bacterium. RNAcentral's name for it is "partial 16S ribosomal RNA". It matches the Rfam family "Bacterial small subunit ribosomal RNA", at positions 524 to 776 of the family's 1533-position model. The record is from RNAcentral.
UACGAAGGGUGCAAGCGUUACUCGGAAUUACUGGGCGUAAAGCGUGCGCAGGCGGUUUCGUAAGUCUGUCGUGAAAUCCCCGGGCUUAACCUGGGAAUGGCGAUGGAGACUGCGAGGCUAGAGUUUGGCAGAGGGGGGUAGAAUUCCACGUGUAGCAGUGAAAUGCGUAGAGAUGUGGAGGAACACCGAUGGCGAAGGCAGCCCCCUGGGUCAAAACUGACGCUCAUGCACGAAAGCGUGGGGAGCAAACAGG